This 526-nucleotide ribosomal RNA is filed under the name Melanohalea aff. multispora SL-2012. RNAcentral describes it as "eukaryotic LSU rRNA". It matches the Rfam family "Eukaryotic large subunit ribosomal RNA", at positions 112 to 650 of the family's 3401-position model. Lineage: Eukaryota; Fungi; Ascomycota; Lecanoromycetes; Lecanorales; Parmeliaceae. The record is from RNAcentral.
AAUUUGAAAUCUGGCCUCUUCGGGGUCCGAGUUGUAAUUUGUAGAGAGUGCUUCGGGUGAGACCGCGGUCUAAGUCCAUUGGAACAUGGCGUCCCAGAGGGUGAGAAUCCCGUAUGCGACCGUGGCUCGAGCCCAUGUGAAGCCUCUUCGACGAGUCGAGUUGUUUGGGAAUGCAGCUCUAAAUGGGUGGUAAAUUUCAUCUAAAGCUAAAUACUGGCUGGAGACCGAUAGCGCACAAGUAGAGUGAUCGAAAGAUGAAAAGCACUUUGGAAAGAGAGUUAAACAGUACGUGAAAUUGUUGAAAGGGAAGCGCUUGCAACCAGACCUGCCCGUAGGCGAUCAACCGCUGUUCUCAGCGGUGCACUCGUUCUGCGAUCAGGCCAGCAUCGGUUCGGGCGGCCGGAUAAAGGCCUUGGGAAUGUAGCUCCCUUUCGGGGGAGUCUUAUAGCCCUCGGUGCAAUGCGGCCAGCCGGGACCGAGGACCGCGCUUCGGCUAGGAUGCUGGCGUAAUGGUUGUAAGCGACCC